Molecule: ribosomal RNA, 255 nt
Filed under: uncultured bacterium
Lineage: Bacteria
Description: partial 16S ribosomal RNA
Source: RNAcentral
CUGCUGCCUUCCGUAGGAGUUUGGGCCGUGUCUCAGUCCCAAUGUGGCCGUUCACCCUCUCAGGCCGGCUACUGAUCGUUGCCUUGGUAGGCCAUUACUCCACCAACUAGCUAAUCAGACGCGGAACCAUCGUAUACCACCAGAGUUUUUCACACCGCUUCAUGCGAAGCUGUGCGCUUAUGCGGUAUUAGCACCUAUUUCUAAGUGUUAUCCCCCAGUAUACGGCAGGUUUUCCACGCGUUACUCACCCGUCCG